Molecule: long non-coding RNA, 1882 nt
Filed under: Harpegnathos saltator (Jerdon's jumping ant)
Lineage: Eukaryota; Metazoa; Arthropoda; Insecta; Hymenoptera; Formicidae
Description: uncharacterized LOC105181705
Source: RNAcentral
UUAACUUUUGAUACGCGUCUCCAGUCUUCGUGCAAGCGCCGAUUUGUACGUGUGCGGCGUAACACGUUCCGUUGCCGAUUAUUAAAUUUAUAUUAGCGCCGGCGAAUUGCUCGUAAAGCGUAAUUUGACUGGUAACCUGAGGUGAAGGCAUUACGGGUAGGUUCACGGUAUAGAGCGAAGAGAAGCCGGUGGUGAGGAAGUAGAAACAGAGAGAUAGAGCGAGAAAGGAGGAGAGAUAGGUGAAAAGCGAGGAGCAGUGAGAAAGGGAAGAAUCGAGCGAGCUGCUACGAGCUGAAGGAAGAACGAAGGAACGAACGUUGUAUUUUCAUGAAAACUAACGAAGCACCGCUGUUAUCAAAGAUGCACUUGUCGGCAUCGUUCGUCCUUAUCACGGUGUGCCUGCUGGUACAUUCGACUGUCGGCAUAACAGAAAUGAUCAACUCUGAUUCCUUCUACUUUCCCGACCAAGCGGACUACAUCAAGCUCGCUACAAAAUGUCCCGAUAACAUGAUACUUUGGCCGUACAACCGUCAAUGUUACAAGGAAGGCGAUGAAGGUCCCUGCAACGUCGGCCGGGUACUGGUGUUCGAUCGUCGGUUACUGAAACCGUACUGCAAGGAUCUCAUAUUUUAAAGAAGCGCGAAUGCAGGAAGGAAUGUGACCAACUAUCGGUGAUUUGUAAUUUAUUACACGUCGGUAAUUUGUCGCACGGUAGGUGACAUAGUAACAAUUGCGAACGUUCAGGGGGAAGUGUAUUCGGGUGAACGCCAUGUUCGGGUUGAAGCUCAAUUCCGCCCGAUGCGGACAAAAAUAUUGGUUUAAGUGAAACGCGUCGAAAUUUCCAUAAUGCAAGUAUAAAUGCUAUUUUUGUUAGCUGCGUAUUCCGUGUAAACAGCUACGUCUCAUGAGAAUAAUAUUGUGGAGCAAUAUAAAGGCAAAUUAGCAUGUUGCAUUUGCGCUAUGGAAAUUUGCUCUAAACAGAAUAUGUAAUUUAUUGAAGACGGAUUGCGAGAUGUGGGGAAACUAAAAUAAAAAAUUAGUCUGAUAAUUAGCGAAAAAUGUUUCAAUGUUUAAAUAAUUAUAGGUUGUUUAAGACAUUUAUUCAAAAUGUUUAACCGUAUACUGCAACAAGCGCGCCUCUAAUUGUAACGUCGUACCCAUCUCGUAUUAGAUUUUUAUCAUAUUCAUCUACACCAAAAUAAUUUUAUUAUUCUUGAUUUGUCACAUUUAUAUUUAUAUUCAUAAUCGAUAUCGUAAAACUCGCUCUGUACGAGCUGUACGCAGUUCCCGAUUAUCUCAUACAAAACUAAUACGCUUAUUAAGUAUGCUCUGAUAGUAACUAAAUGUUUUAUAUUCCAUCCAAUAUUAUUUAUUAAGAUCAUUUUAUUACGAACUCUCAAUUCAGAGAAAUGUAUUAUGAUCGUCAAUUUCUAUCAGCAUACGUUAAUCAAAUAGGUUGACAAUUAUAAAUGGAUACGUUUAAGAUAAGGACUGAUAUCUAUGUGGAAUAAUGCAAAUGUAAGUUUGUAUGUACAUAUAAAACUUUUAAUUUUAUACGAAUAUUUAUAUGCUCACAUUUUGAUAUUCAUCAUAGAGUUGCGAACAGAUUGUAGAAAAAAUGACUUGUACUGACAUCUAUUCAGAUUAAAGACAUCACGAGAGCAAUUCCGUGAUCGGUCGUUCUUGUUAUUUUAUACCCAGUAAAUGAGCAUUUCGAGCCAAAUUAGUUUGCGGUAAUUAGCUACAGAAGAAGCUCUAAAAGCUUACAUUCGAUUUGUCUCAAUUAGUGUAUAUAAUUAUUUUAUCGAUGGUUUAAUGAGUAAGUUAUUUCCAUUACUAUCGUUAAUAACAUGACACAAUAAACGAACGUGUAAGAGUUAAA